Molecule: ribosomal RNA, 1521 nt
Filed under: Triticum aestivum (bread wheat)
Lineage: Eukaryota; Viridiplantae; Streptophyta; Magnoliopsida; Poales; Poaceae
Description: partial small subunit ribosomal RNA
Source: RNAcentral
AUGACCACGCCACAUGGAUGCAUGCAAGAGCUGUUGCAUGGCGGCAAUGCUGCUGUUCCUGGGGCAAUUACCGUACAACGCCGCAAGGAGAACUUAUCUGCGAAAGAAAUCGCAGCGCUUGGGAACAUCAAGGAGUUUUGCGCUGGGUUGCUUAAAAAGCUUGCCCCGCCGCUUCUCAAGGAGUUUGAAGGUCUGCAAGGGGUCAAAUCAGGCCAAGACCCAUUCACCCCACGCCGCACAACUCGGUCCAUUUGUGCAAGUAGCUCUAGGAAGACGAAGGCCUCGGCAGCUGAAACGGUGCUGCUUAGAACCCUGGGCCUGGACUGUGAUGAUCUGGCGGUCUCGGAAGAUGCGCUAGGUCAGCUCGGUACAGUCUUCGACUCGCCACUCCAGGAGCCGCAGUUGAGGGCCAUCGCGGCUAUCUUCGGGAAGGCGAUACCGCUCAACCUCUCGGAAGAGGCAGGGAUGGCAGAGCCGAUCUUGGCGCAGUACGCACGUUGGUGCCGGUGGUGUUGGAGGCAUCUUGUUCCGAUGUCGUUCGACACUUUGGAGUUAGUGUGUUGGAAUGUUAAAGGCCUUAACAGUCCGGCCAAAAGGAAGGCGCUUAGGGGUUUUGUGGAUUCUACUCGCGCGGCGAUUGUUUGUAUCCUAGAAACUAAACUUGAGGUGGUGGACACUUUUGUAAUCUUGCAAUGCAUGGGGCCGAACUAUGAUGGUUUCACUUACUUAACGGUGUUGGGCAUUAGAGGUGGUAUCUUUCUGGCAUGGGACACCACACGGGUCCUCUUGUCAAAUUAUGUCAAUGACUCCCAUAGCAUUUCGGCGGACAACCUGUUGGUAGUAGGCUUGAUUGACCCUUUGGCUCUCGUUGGAGUGUAUAAUUCAAGAAUGGAUGGAAGGUCUUCCACUGCUUGUUUUCUGGUGAUGCUUGUCUUGUUCAGAAGCACUACACCUGCAGAGAAUUGUUUCAUUCAACGCUAUCUGACAGUGUUCUGCACCAAGGAUGAAUGCAAGCUUGAAUGCCUGUUUCAUUGGAAUGACAAGUGGAUCCACGAACAUUGGUGUGAUGGGAAGAUCUUUGGCAAAUCAUGUAAAAUAGCCAAACACACAAUGAUGGCUAUGUUUGGCGUAUCUCGGAAGAAGCGGCACACAUAUAUGCUCAUCUUUGUGAGCAUGUGGCCUUGUAUAAAGAAAUGGAGGAACUACACCUUGGGGCCCGUCGGACGGCUUGGCCCAGGCUUGUCUCCUUCCAUACCUCAACGAAUCCCCCACCUUGCCUCACCAGUCCACCCCAACACUGCUCAUUACGCCAGGCAGUUCUCACACAUUGCCAUGUUCAGACGCAGUUCGCACACAUCUACACACCACCAUCAUGGUCUACCUCCCCUUUGCACACCACUGUACUCAUGCCCUACCUAUGAACAUCCGAGAGGUGAGGGCAAAGACGAGAAUGGGGUAAAUGGUUGUGCAUCAAAGGGAAAAGAGGACAAACCCAUGCUGCUCCUCCACCUAGUCCUAUAG